GAAUUGCAGGACGCACUGCCGUAGACAGUAGGUGCCGGUGAACCGGUGUAAGUACAAACGCCUACCGAGGAAGAUGAAUUUCUAUAUGAAUUAUUUUCACCUCGUUCGGCUUGAAUUAUGCGGCGAGGUUUUUUAUUUUGUCU
This is a non-coding RNA of Clostridium sp. CAG:253, 143 nucleotides long. NCBI's taxonomy places the organism in Bacteria, Bacillati, Bacillota, Clostridia, Eubacteriales, Clostridiaceae. The record is from Rfam.